This 354-nucleotide unclassified non-coding RNA is filed under the name soil metagenome. Its description in RNAcentral is "partial contains 5.8S ribosomal RNA, internal transcribed spacer 2, and large subunit ribosomal RNA". The stretch from base 1 to 120 matches the Rfam family "5.8S ribosomal RNA", at positions 35 to 154 of the family's 154-position model. The record is from RNAcentral.
GAUGAAGAACGUAGCGAAAUGCGAUAAGUAAUGCGAAUUGCAGAAUUCAGUGAAUCAUCGAAUCUUUGAACGCACAUUGCGCCCGCCAGUACUCUGGCGGGCAUGCCUGUCUGAGCGUCAUUUCAACCCUCGCACCCGGCUUCUGUCGGGGGCGGUGUUGGGGAUCGGCCUCCCGGUUUCGGGCGGCCGGCCCCUAAAUGGAGUGGCGACCGCGCCGUAGCCUCCUCUGCGUAGUAGUGAAAAACUCGCAGGCGGAGAGCGGUGUGGCCCGCCGUAAAACCCCCAACUUUCUAAGGUUGACCUCAGAUCAGGUAGGAAUACCCGCUGAACUUAAGCAUAUCAAUAAGCGGAGGA